CCCAGACUCCUACGGGAGGCAGCAGUGAGGAAUAUUGGUCAAUGGCCGAGAGGCUGAACCAGCCGAGUCGCGUGAGGGAUGACGGCCCUACGGGUUGUAAACCUCUUUUGUCGGGGAGCAAAGAGAGUCACGUGUGGCUCAUUGAGGGUACCCGAAGAAAAAGCAUCGGCUAACUCCGUGCCAGCAGCCGCGGUAAUACAGAGGAUGCGAGCGUUAUCCGGAUUUAUUGGGUUUAAAGGGUGCGUAGGCGGAGUGUCAAGUCAGCGGUAAAAUUUCGGGGCUCAACCCCGUCGUGCCGUUGAAACUGACGCCCUUGAGUGAGUGAGAAGUAAGCGGAAUGCGUGGUGUAGCGGUGAAAUGCAUAGAUAUCACGCAGAACGCCGAUUGCGAAGGCAGCUUACCGGCGCUCAACUGACGCUGAGGCACGAAAGCGUGGGUAUCGAACAGGAUUAGAUACCCUGGUAAU
This 466-nucleotide ribosomal RNA is filed under the name uncultured bacterium. RNAcentral's name for it is "bacterial SSU rRNA". It matches the Rfam family "Bacterial small subunit ribosomal RNA", at positions 330 to 794 of the family's 1533-position model. The record is from RNAcentral.